This 309-nucleotide ribosomal RNA is filed under the name uncultured eukaryote. RNAcentral's name for it is "partial 18S ribosomal RNA". It matches the Rfam family "Eukaryotic small subunit ribosomal RNA", at positions 1470 to 1796 of the family's 1831-position model. The record is from RNAcentral.
CCCUUAGAUGUUCUGGGCGGCCCGCGCACUACACUGGCACUCUCAAUCAGAGCCUGGAUCUAACACUUUGGGGUAUUCUAUGAAGUGGUGUCGUGACUGGGAUUAACCCUUGCAAUUAUUGGUUGCGAACGAGGAAUUCCUUGUAAUCGCGGUUUAUCAGCCCGCGUUGAAUGCGUCCCUGCCCUUUGUACACACCGCCCGUCGCUCCUACCGAUGGAUCGUCCGGUGAAGCUCAUGGAGGGGCGGUUGUCUCAGCUGCCGUCGAAGUGAAAUGGACCUCACGAUCUAGAGGAAGGAGAAGUCGUAACA